AGUGCUUUUACCUCAGAAUCAGAUAGAUCUGAAACUUUAUUGCUUUCUUCUUUAAAUGAAAUCAAAGAUUGAGGGAUCUUUUUGUCUUCAACAGGUUUAGAUUUGUCAGAUUCCGUAGGUUCUCUCUCAGGAAGUGUAAUAGAGACCUGUUGAGCCUCAGCAAGAGUUUUUGUUGGUUCUUGUGGAAGUUCAGUUAAAGGACCCUCCUUUUCAACAACAGUAACAACAGAGUGAUGCUCCUCUACAGCUUCUACAACUGAUUCAACUUCAACUGAAGCAAGAAGUGGUUCUGGUGAAGGUGGAGAUAGUAUAUCUUCCUCAGCCGGGAGUGGGGGCUGAUGGGUAUGCUCUGUUUCAG
Molecule: unclassified non-coding RNA, 358 nt
Filed under: Hevea brasiliensis (rubber tree)
Lineage: Eukaryota; Viridiplantae; Streptophyta; Magnoliopsida; Malpighiales; Euphorbiaceae
Source: RNAcentral